RNAcentral lists this ribosomal RNA (468 nucleotides) under uncultured bacterium. Its description in RNAcentral is "partial 16S ribosomal RNA". It matches the Rfam family "Bacterial small subunit ribosomal RNA", at positions 28 to 507 of the family's 1533-position model. The record is from RNAcentral.
GACGAACGCUGGCGGCGUGCUUAACACAUGCAAGUCGAACGGAAAGGCCCUGCUUGUGUGGGGUGCUCGAGUGGCGAACGGGUGAGUAACACGUGAGAAACCUGCCCUUGACUUUGGGAUAACUUCAGGAAACUGGGUCUAAUACCGGAUAGGUGCUCCUUCUGCAUGGUGGGUGUGGGAAGGGUUCGGCGGUUGGGGAUGGACUCGCGGCUUAUCAGCUUGUGGGUGGGGUAUUGGCUUACCAAGGCUUUGACGGGUAGCCGGCCUGAGGGGGUGACCGGACACAUUGGGAAUGAGAUACGGCCCAGACUCCUACGGGAGGCAGCAGUGGGGAAUAUUGCACAAUGGGAGGAAGCCUGAUGCAGCAACGACGCGUGCGGGAUGACGGCCCUCGGGUUGUAAACCGCUUUCGCCUGUGACGAAGCGUGAGUGAGGGUAAUGGGUAAAGAAGCACCGGCUAACUACGUG